Molecule: ribosomal RNA, 1347 nt
Filed under: uncultured bacterium
Lineage: Bacteria
Description: partial 16S ribosomal RNA
Rfam family: Bacterial small subunit ribosomal RNA
Source: RNAcentral
UUGUAGUAAUACGAGAGUAUCCUAGUGGCGAACGGGUGAGUAACGCGUUGGUGACCUACCCCAAAGUGUGGGAUAACAGUCCGAAAGGAUUGCUAAUACCGCAUGUGGUCCUCAGCUUUAGAAACUGAUGACUAAAGGAGCAAUUCGCUUUGGGAGGGACCUGCGUCCCAUCAGCUAGUUGGUGAGGUAAUGGCUCACCAAGGCUACGACGCGUAGCCGGACUGAGAGGUUGGCCGGCCUCAUUGGGACUGAGACACUGCCCAGACUCCUACGGGGGGCUGCAGUAACGGAUCUUCCGCAAUGCACGAAAGUGUGACGGAGCGACGCCGCGUGUGGGACGAAGUCCUUCGGGAUGUAAACCACUGUCAGGGGUUACCAAGUUCUGAGGAGCCCCAGAGGAAGGCACGGCUAACUCUGUGCCAGCAGCCGCGGUAAGACAGAGGUGCCAAGCGUUAGGCGGAAUCACUGGGCUUAAAGCGUGUGUAGGCGGAAUUGUAAGUACCUUGUGAAAUCCCACGGCUCAACCGUGGAACUGCUCGGUAUACUGCUUUUCUUGAGCCACUUAGGGGCUGUCGGAACAAACGGUGGAGCGGUGAAAUGCGUAGAUAUCGUUUGGAACGCCAAAGGUGAAAACAGACAGCUGGGAGUGUGCUGACGCUGAGACACGAAAGCCAGGGGAGCGAACGGGAUUAGAUACCCCGGUAGUCCUGGCCCUAAACGGAUGUCGACUAGAUGCGUGGUGGCUCUGACGCCAUCACGGUCGAAGCAAAAUGCUAAGUGCCGCCUGAAAGUCGGUCGCAAGCUAACUCAAGAAUUGACGGGGCUCACCCAACGGUGGAGCAUGUGGUUCAAUUGGAACAACGCGCAGACCUUACCUGGGCUUGACAUGCCAAGGAUUAUCCCCAUGAAAGUGGGGUACGCCCUUCGGGGUGGAACUGGUACAGGUGCUGCAUGGCUGUCGUCAGCUCGUGUCGUGAGAUGUCGGGUUAAGUCCCUUAACGAGCGAAACCUUUGCCCUUAGUUACCAGCGGGUUAUGCCGGGGACUCUAAGGGGACUGCCGGUGUCAAACCGGAGGAAGGUGGAGAUGACGUCAAGUCCUCAUGGCCUUUAUGCCCAGGGCCACACACGUGCUACAAUGCGGCGCACAAAGCGAACCUAAAACGCGAGUUCAUGGAAAUCGCAGAAAUCGCCGCCCAGUUCAGAUUGGAGGCUGCAACUCGCCUCCAUGAAGUUGGAAUCGCUAGUAAUCGCGGAUCAGCUACGCCGCGGUGAAUGUGUUCCUGAGCCUUGUACACACCGCCCGUCAAGUCAUGGGAGCCGGGAAUAGCCGAAGUGGCCACAUCACA